CCUACGGGCGGCUGCAGUGAGGAAUAUUGGUCAAUGGGCGCAAGCCUGAACCAGCCAUGCCGCGUGCAGGAAGACGGCCUUAUGGGUUGUAAACUGCUUUUACAUAAGACUAACCGUAUAUUUGCGAAUAUACCUGAAUGUAUUAUGAGAAUAAGGAUCGGCUAACUCCGUGCCAGCAGCCGCGGUAAUACGGAGGAUCCGAGCGUUAUCCGGAUUUAUUGGGUUUAAAGGGUGCGUAGGCUGACUGAUAAGUCAGCGGUGAAAAGCAUAGGCUUAACCUAUGUCUUGCCGUUGAUACUGUCAGACUAGAAUAUAAAUGGAGUAGGCGGAAUGAAUCAUGUAGAGGUGACAUUCAUAGAUAUGAUUUAGAACACCGUUCGCGAAGGCGGCUUACUAAGAUAUAAUUGACGCUGAUGCACGAAAGCGUGGGUAUCGAACAGGAUUAGAUACCCCGGUAGUC
Molecule: ribosomal RNA, 460 nt
Filed under: uncultured Bacteroidota bacterium
Lineage: Bacteria; Pseudomonadati; Bacteroidota
Description: bacterial SSU rRNA
Rfam family: Bacterial small subunit ribosomal RNA
Source: RNAcentral